Transfer RNA from Blastomyces gilchristii SLH14081, 81 nucleotides. It matches the Rfam family "tRNA". Rfam says of the family: Transfer RNA (tRNA) molecules are approximately 80 nucleotides in length. Lineage: Eukaryota; Fungi; Ascomycota; Eurotiomycetes; Onygenales; Ajellomycetaceae. The record is from Rfam.
GCCAGCGUGACUCAGUUGGUAAGACUGGUAAUCAAGGCCGCACACAUUAGAGGUGCGUGGGUUCGAAUCCCACCGCUGGCA